Molecule: transfer RNA, 77 nt
Filed under: candidate division Zixibacteria bacterium SM23_73_2
Lineage: Bacteria; Pseudomonadati; Candidatus Zixiibacteriota
Description: tRNA-Gly
Rfam family: tRNA
About the family: Transfer RNA (tRNA) molecules are approximately 80 nucleotides in length. Their secondary structure includes four short double-helical elements and three loops (D, anti-codon, and T loops).
Source: RNAcentral
GCGGGAAUAGCUCAGCUGGCUAGAGCAUCACCUUGCCAAGGUGAAUGUCGCGGGUUCGAAUCCCGUUUCCCGCUCAA